AUGCAGAAAGGUCUGGAGGGUGCAUCAGCUUGGGUGGAGCACCAGGCAAAGGUCUGGCACUGGCCAGUUCCCAAGGGAAAAAAGUGCCUACUAGAUGUAAAGAAUUUUUCUCCAGCCUGUUGCAACAACAUGACAAAGAGGAUUCCCCUGACAAAUGGAGAACAGAGGAAGAAAUGGCAGCUGAAGCAGCAAUUCUGAAGAAGUAUUUCCAAGAAAAUUAGAGGUAAUGGUUUGCUCAUUAAGUUAUUCCUGCAACACUCAGAACUCUUGGGUGUUCCAUAGGAUUCUUAAGGACACAUGAGAAUAUGUAGAAUGAAACCUAAAAAGCUCUAUUGUUUUUUUUCGUUCGUGUUGUUUCCUAAAAGGACACAAUACUCCAACAGUGGCUGAAAUAACAUCCUCCUUCUCGAACAAAUAAGCACCAUCUUAAAGCUUUUAGUUCCCAGAGAGUGAAAAAUAACACACCUGG
RNAcentral lists this long non-coding RNA (469 nucleotides) under Cairina moschata (Muscovy duck). RNAcentral's name for it is "domestica (muscovy Duck (domestic type)) lncRNA (ENSCMMG00000014404.1)". Lineage: Eukaryota; Metazoa; Chordata; Aves; Anseriformes; Anatidae. The record is from RNAcentral.